UACAGAGGCCACGAGCGUUAGGCGGAAUCACUGGGCUUAAAGCGUGUGUAGGUGGAUGGCUAAGUACCUUGUGAAAUCCCACGGCUCAACCGUGGAACGGCCUCGGAUACGGGCGGCCUCGAGGGGGGUAGGGGCAUCUGGAACUGUGAGUGGAGCGGUGAAAUGCGUUGAUAUUCACAGGAACUCCGGUGGCGAAGGCGAGGUGCUGGACCCCAUCUGACGCUGAGGCGCGAAAGCGUGGGGAGCAAACAGG
Molecule: ribosomal RNA, 253 nt
Filed under: uncultured bacterium
Lineage: Bacteria
Description: partial 16S ribosomal RNA
Rfam family: Bacterial small subunit ribosomal RNA
Source: RNAcentral